AGGUUUGGAGUGAGGGCACAGGGUUGCACGUUUCAGUUCGGCAGUGAAUCUCUAGUGUCUCUCAGUACGGGAUGUCAUUCUGGUAGUACUGGAUCAUGUCGUAUGUCCUGCUCCUAGAGAAGAAAAGCAAAGCCAGAGGAAUAAUACCAUGCUGACACAGUAACCUCUGAGGAGAAUACAUAAUAUUAGUGUACUAUCAACUGCAGAGAUAAAGAGGCCACAUGAUCCUUUAAACUGUGUUGGAGACAAUGCCAUGCAGCUCUGCCUAAGUGCAAAGGAACUCAAACCUAAAUAAAUAUUAGUCAAACAUA
This is a long non-coding RNA of Pezoporus occidentalis (night parrot), 311 nucleotides long. RefSeq lists it as uncharacterized. The record is from RefSeq and is a predicted model, not a curated record. The transcript is spliced from 2 exons. NCBI's taxonomy places the organism in Eukaryota, Metazoa, Chordata, Aves, Psittaciformes, Psittacidae.